AUGGCGGCCGUGACGUUCGAAGAGGAGGUCUCCAGGCUGGCUGCCCGCGAAGCGGCCAUCUCGCCGGCGCUGGUGAGGACGGCCGUGGGGGCACUGGCACGCAGCAGCGCGGCCCGCGCCGCUGCCGUUGCCCUGUUCCAUCUCUUCGCCGGCACCAUCAGCGUCCUCUUCGCUGCAACAUUCCUCUACCUCGUCGUGUUCCGGGCCUGCGUCGAGAACUGCACCGUGGCCUCGGUAGUUUGGGAGAUCUUGGUUUAUUCUGGUAUGCUCUCCCUGCUACUCAUAGUGCCAGCGAUGGUGCUCUUCUUCCUGCGCGCCGCCGGCAGCGGCAGCGAGGUCAAGGAUGAUGUGGAUGGUUGCGUCCGUUGGUGGCCGCUAAUCUGGCACGCGUCUGUGGCGUUCUUCCACUUGGCGCUCUUGGUGGGACUCAUCGGGCUCGUUCUUCAAAUCUGUGGCGGGUCUCAAGAGGUUUCUUACCUUCUCCGCACUGCGGCUGUGCUGUGCAAGCUCCUACUCACCGUCGCCUUCUCCAUCCGUGCUGCAGUGGCGCUGUGGAGGAUGCAUCCUCAGCAGCCGGCCGCAGUUGGUGCUGUGGUAGUGUGA
RNAcentral lists this ribosomal RNA (603 nucleotides) under Triticum aestivum (bread wheat). Its description in RNAcentral is "partial small subunit ribosomal RNA". Lineage: Eukaryota; Viridiplantae; Streptophyta; Magnoliopsida; Poales; Poaceae. The record is from RNAcentral.